This 481-nucleotide unclassified non-coding RNA is filed under the name Hevea brasiliensis (rubber tree). The record is from RNAcentral. Lineage: Eukaryota; Viridiplantae; Streptophyta; Magnoliopsida; Malpighiales; Euphorbiaceae.
GGCUUUCUUUGAUUGGUUUUAAGCACAGCAGGAUAAGAGAAACCCAGAAUUGGGAAUUUUGUUUGCCUCUGUGUUAGGAUUAGGGGCUAGAUUUUGGUUUUAGGGAUUUGGGCUGAUUCACAAUGGCCUCUUAUAGGCAACUUCCUCCGCAAUCCGCAUUCCAACAACAGCAGCAGCAAAGCAACAGCAACAGCAGAGACCUAAUCAGUAUACUCAAAACAACACUCAAAUGGCGCCAGCAGCAGCAGCUUCUUCCUCUAAAUUCCCCCCAAACUAUCCCCAAAUUCCUAUCCAGCAGAAUUUCUCACAACAUUAUCCUCCUCCGCGUGCCCAACACUCUGCCGCUCCCCCACCACCUCACCAACAGUAUCCUUAUGCACCACCCCCACCACCAGAAUCAUCAUACCCACCUCCACCUCCUCCACCAGCACCAGCCCAACAGCAACCACCUCCUAUGUACUACCCACCAUCACAAUAUUCU